RNAcentral lists this long non-coding RNA (754 nucleotides) under Rattus norvegicus (Norway rat). RNAcentral describes it as "long non-coding RNA NONRATT023397". The record is from RNAcentral. Lineage: Eukaryota; Metazoa; Chordata; Mammalia; Rodentia; Muridae.
ACUUGAGGAUGAACACCUAUGUCUGUUCUCUGGUAUCCACACAUGUAUACACACAUGAGUACACAUAAUGAACUCACAUAUGCACAAACACAUCCACACAAAGAUGGGAUUAAACAUGGGUGAGAGACUGGAUGGAGUGCUUCAGUUCUGUUGGGAUACUUGACAAGGAUGUUCGCUGAGGAAGAGAACAGUGGAGUGCUAGUGUUAUCCUGGAUCAUAGAGGCUGCCCAAGUGAAUUCAGAUAUUCAUUAGAGAGACUGGCGAGAAGACAGGAAAGAGAGCUUGCCCUGGAGAACAACUGGCUCGAACUGAAUUGUUCAUUUUCUUCACUGCUCUUAUGCAAAAUUUCACCUUCAAACCUCCAGUCAAUGAGACGUUGAGCCUAAAGUUCAGAAAUGGCCUCACCCUUGCCCCAGUCAGCCACCGCAUCUGUGCUGUCCCCAGACAGUGAUGCUGGAGAAGCAAAGAGAAAGGAAAGAAGGAAUGACUUGCCCUUUGAAACCACUGGUGCCUACACACAUAGGAGGAAACAGAAUGAAGGUGACAGAGAAAAGAUGGGAAAACUUAGAGUAGAGAAACUGAAUCAAAUUCCUGGACUGCCGGCCCCUCAAGUUGGUUCUGAGUAUACACUUAUGUGCUCAUAAAAUUGCUGAAAGAAGAAUUAUUCUUUUCAUUUUUAAAGUGUAUGUAAAGGGAUACAGUGUAUUAAGAAUACUAUUUAACUUAUAAAUCACAUUAAAAGAGGUGUGCUUUC